AUUGUUCCUGUGGCCUAUAGAAGGUAUACAUUUUGUUCUUGCUUUUGAGCUCCAAUUUUGGUCUUCUGAGGCUAAUCUCAGCUUUUUCUGCUAAUUGGGUGUGUAAUGAAGAUCAGUGGGUUAGAAAGUCUUGAUCUUAGAUCUUGGGCGUUUAAUGAAUUUAUUUUUUGUGAAUGGGUUUUUUUAGGGUACCCUGUAGGAGGAGAGGA
RNAcentral lists this unclassified non-coding RNA (209 nucleotides) under Hevea brasiliensis (rubber tree). The record is from RNAcentral. Lineage: Eukaryota; Viridiplantae; Streptophyta; Magnoliopsida; Malpighiales; Euphorbiaceae.